UACGGGGGGGGCAAGCGUUGUUCGGAAUUACUGGGCGUAAAGGGCUCGUAGGUGGCCAACUAAGUCAGACGUGAAAUCCCUCGGCUUAACCGGGGAACUGCGUCUGAUACUGGAUGGCUUGAGUUUGGGAGAGGGAUGCGGAAUUCCAGGUGUAGCGGUGAAAUGCGUAGAUAUCAGGAGGAACACCAAUAGCGAAGGCAGCUCGCUGGGACGUUACUGACACUGAGGCGCGAAAGCGUGGGGAGCGAACAGG
Molecule: ribosomal RNA, 253 nt
Filed under: uncultured bacterium
Lineage: Bacteria
Description: partial 16S ribosomal RNA
Rfam family: Bacterial small subunit ribosomal RNA
Source: RNAcentral